CCUACGGGAGGCAGCAGUGGGGAAUAUUGGUCAAUGGACGAGAGUCUGAACCAGCCAAGUAGCGUGAAGGAUGACUGCCCUAUGGGUUGUAAACUUCUUUUAUAUGGGAAUAAAACGUUCCACGUGUGGGAUUUUGUAUGUACCAUAUGAAUAAGGAUCGGCUAACUCCGUGCCAGCAGCCGCGGUAAUACGGAGGGUACGAGCGUUAUCCGGAUUUAUGGGGUUUAAAGGGAGCGUAGGUGGAUUGUUAAGUCAGUUGUGAAAGUUUGCGGCUCAACCGUAAGAUUGCAGUUGAAACUGGCAGUCUUGAGUACAGUAGAGGUGGGCGGAAUUCGUGGUGUAGCGGUGAAAUGCUUAGAUAUCACGAAGAACACCGAUUGCGAAGGCAGCUCACUGGACUGCAACUGACACUGAGGCUCGAAAGUGUGGGGAUCAAACAGGAUUAGAUACCCGAGUAGUC
Molecule: ribosomal RNA, 460 nt
Filed under: uncultured bacterium
Lineage: Bacteria
Description: partial 16S ribosomal RNA
Rfam family: Bacterial small subunit ribosomal RNA
Source: RNAcentral